Molecule: ribosomal RNA, 594 nt
Filed under: Klebsiella pneumoniae
Lineage: Bacteria; Pseudomonadati; Pseudomonadota; Gammaproteobacteria; Enterobacterales; Enterobacteriaceae
Description: bacterial SSU rRNA
Rfam family: Bacterial small subunit ribosomal RNA
Source: RNAcentral
AUGUGGUUUAAUUCGAUGCAACGCGAAGAACCUUACCUGGUCUUGACAUCCACAGAACUUAGCAGAGAUGCUUUGGUGCCUUCGGGAACUGUGAGACAGGUGCUGCAUGGCUGUCGUCAGCUCGUGUUGUGAAAUGUUGGGUUAAGUCCCGCAACGAGCGCAACCCUUAUCCUUUGUUGCCAGCGGUUAGGCCGGGAACGCAAAGGAGACUGCCAGUGAUAAACUGGAGGAAGGUGGGGAUGACGUCAAGUCAUCAUGGCCCUUACGACCAGGGCUACACACGUGCUACAAUGGCAUAUACAAAGAGAAGCGACCUCGCGAGAGCAAGCGGACCUCAUAAAGUAUGUCGUAGUCCGGAUUGGAGUCUGCAACUCGACUCCAUGAAGUCGGAAUCGCUAGUAAUCGUAGAUCAGAAUGCUACGGUGAAUACGUUCCCGGGCCUUGUACACACCGCCCGUCACACCAUGGGAGUGGGUUGCAAAAGAAGUAGGUAGCUUAACCUUCGGGAGGGCGCUUACCACUUUGUGAUUCAUGACUGGGGUGAAGUCGUAACAAGGUAACCGUAGGGGAACCUGCGGUUGGAUCACCUCCUUA